Molecule: ribosomal RNA, 413 nt
Filed under: uncultured Desulfobulbus sp.
Lineage: Bacteria; Pseudomonadati; Thermodesulfobacteriota; Desulfobulbia; Desulfobulbales; Desulfobulbaceae
Description: bacterial SSU rRNA
Rfam family: Bacterial small subunit ribosomal RNA
Source: RNAcentral
UUGACAUCCCGGAGACCCUUAGGAAACUAGGGGGUGCUUCCAUCUGGAAGAAUCUGGAGACAGGUGCUGCAUGGCUGUCGUCAGCUCGUGUCGUGAGAUGUUGGGUUAAGUCCCGCAACGAGCGCAACCCUUGCCUUUAGUUGCCAGCAGUUCGGCUGGGCACUCUAAAGGGACUGCCGGUGUUAAACCGGAGGAAGGUGGGGAGUGACGUCAAGUCCUCAUGGCCUUUAUGACCAGGGGCUACACACGUACUACAAUGGCCGAUACAAAGGGCAGCGACACCUGCGGAGGUGAAGCCAAUACCCGUAAAAUCGGUCUCAGUCCGGAUUGGAGUCUGCAACUCGACUCCAUGAAGUUGGAAUCGCUAGUAAUCGUGGAUCAGCAUGCCACGGUGAAUACGGUUCCCGGGCCUU